CAGCCUUCAAAAGGAUCCAUGUUCUACACACCAUCAGGACUCUCCUGUUCCCAUUUUUUUGUUGCUUAUGUGUUGGCUUUUUUGUUUCAUUGUAGCCAAGCUUUCAUCACAUUGUUGAAAAGGCAAUCAUUAAUACCUUUUGAGAAUUAUAUUUUACAGCUCAGUCACACUGUAGAAACUAAUCCGAAUCUGCUCCAAGUUCAGAAAUUUUGAGAAAUGGGUUCUGCUCUGAGUACAAUAUAGGAGACCAUCCAUGACAAGUCAACACUUUGAAAAUAACAACCAGGAAAGCUGUAAGUUUUAGAAAGGCUGAAAAGCUAUGGAAGCAAGAAGAAUUAGACAAACUAAAAUCCCUAAGAAGGAAAAGUAUUUCAUAGAGGAGCUGAUGAUCACUGCCUUUUUUAUUUCCUUGAGGCUUUUGCAUUAGACUUGAUUUAGGCUGAGGGAUUCUACUGGGUAAAGAGAAACAAAGCUUUGGAUAGUCAUCGGGGCCGGUGUGACAGUUUUAAAUCUAGCAGUACUCCAAAUGCAUGGCCACUUUUCUUUGUAGACAUAUGCUAUGUGCUACAGCAAAAUAGGAGACCGAGGAAGAGGGUAGGAAAACUCUAACAGACAAAAUUGAAAUCCCCCAGUCUGGGAAUGCUUAGAAGAAAAUCUCUCCCUGGGGUGAAGGAGGGCUACCUUAAACAUAGACUGAGGAUGUAGAAGAGACAGAGAGCUUCCAUGCUCUCAAUCCAAAGGCCAGGUUGCAUCAUGGAUGGGCUGCAAAGUUGCAAAGUUUGAGCUCAGCUCAUUGUCUGCCUGGUCCAUGUGGUCAGUUCUACAUGCAUUCUGCCAAGCAAGAGACGGUGAAUGCUCUCUGAGCAAAAUAAGAUCAUUCGGUAUCUUUCAAGUCCUUUUAUAUCCAAUACCUAAUUACAAUUUUAAAAUAAUGCAUGUAGAGAGUAGCAAUAAAAAUAUGACCAGUGAUAAGAACUAAGAAAAUUAAGAGAGUAGAAGUAUCACCACACACAUAGCACAUAUUAGAGUCAGCAGGAAAGUAUUUUAAAAUAACUGUCAUAGCGUGUAGGAGACAAAGGAGACAUACCAGUUCAUUUCUCAGUUUUGGUAAAUGUCCCAUGGUUCUGUUAGAUGUGAGGAAACUGGAUGAGGGGAUGUAGGAAUUCAGUGCAAUAUUUUUGAAGCGCCUAUAAUUCUGAAAUUAUUUCCAAAAAAAUUGAAGUUUUCACCUGUGAGAGAGCUGAAAGAUUUCAGAUGAUGGAUCAUGGGUAACCAUGAGACUUCUUAAUGAAAAUGUUUUGUGUAGUUAUGAUUUUUGGAGCCAUGCAAAAGCAUGAACCAUUUUAAAAAUAAAUCAAAUAUUUUAACAUAAAUACAAAGAAAAGUAAGGGUUUUUAAGGAAUUUAUUCUUUAGAUACUCUCUAGAUUUCGUGCAAAGAUUUAUAUACAAGGCUGUUCAUGUGAAAAAUGAUGCAAUAAUAUACACUAUUAGAAGGAAGAUUAGAUGGAUGGAUGGAUGGAUGGAUGGAUGGAUGGAUGGAUGGAUGGAUAGAGAGAGAGAGAGAGACCAUGAAUAAAAUAAAAUAAAAUGAUUUAUGUAAAAUUUAUUGCAAAAAACAUUCAAUCCUUAGGCUCUCAUAUUUUAAUUUAACAUUAAAAUGAAGUUUCCAUUACUACUGCUUGUAGAGCACAAAAGUACAUCACCAGCUAAGCCAACAAUAAUUUAGAGAUAAUGCAAAUACUUUGCCUUAAUUAGACUGCUGGUAAAUAAAUUGUCAAUGAAUGAGUCAGUGUUACCUUUCUCAGCCUCUCCUCUACAGACCUCAGGUGGCUUUUCCAGCACAGAGGAAAUGGGAUGGAGCAUGGUUUUAUGGCAGCUUUUCCCUAGACUGAAAUAUACUGUGAGCACAUCAUGUAAUGGAUAGGAGAAAACUUGAUUGGAAGGGCAAAAUGACCAAUAAAAACUUUCAAUUUUUUUUCCUAAAAUUAUCUUUCCAUGUUUAGCUGAGAACCAGAUUGUGAGUAUAGGGUUUGGGUCUGCAGAUUUGCAAUUAUAUAAUUCUACAGAAUAAUUAAAUAUGUUCUUUUAUUUGCAUGUGCCAUUGCAUGUUGAUUGCAUUCUAUUGUGUAACUAAAGUUCAGAUUUUUAAAUUUGACCAUAUUUACUAGGGAGGUUUUGCUCAUAACAUAGAUAUUAAGGCAAUAGUGUGCCUAGUAUGUCUUCUGUGAUAAUAGACAGCUACUCUAGGCCAAGUCAUCCAGUAGGCAAUGAUUUCUUUUUUUGUUAUUAUUCUGAAUAUCUCAAAUUACAUGAAUUUAAAAUCAAUUUGACUCCUAAAAAUGAGCAGAAACACAUUUUCCUUUCUUAGACAGCAAUUCCAUGCACUUGGUUGGAAAACACAGUAUUAGUAAGAAAGGCUAAGUCAUAUUUUCUUUAAUGUUGUGUACCUUAUAGCCACUAUUUGCUUGCUGGAUUUGCCAGUGGCCAAACCUAACUCUGCUCUCAUCAUCACAUUGGAGUAUAAAAUUGGGUUCUAUCAGCUUUUCAUACUUCUGUUUCCUUUUGUGGACUUAACAAAGCUGAUUUCUGAUCCAAGUUUUAUGGAAACACCUAAAUGUUUCUUUUUGACCAGGAAGGAUUAUUUCACUGGGACAGAACCUCUAAAAUAGUCUUUUGCUCAAACUUGAGUGGGAAAUUCUAGAAGAAAAUGGUUAUUUCUCUUCUUGGAAAAUUUUUCUUUUCUAUGAAAUUCGUGUUCCACAUGUUAUCGCCUACUCUUAUGAGACUUUAUUUUCAUUAGAUCUUGGUCUCUUUGUGUCUUCAUGUAAGGACAUUUUUUUCCUAAAUGUUUUUUCAGGGCAUUUUUAUUAUUGUUGUUAUAUUUGCCUUUGUGUGCGAAUAUGUGCAUUGAAUUUCUUAUUUCACUGAAUAAGGACCUAAAGAUUAAGAAUUUCUGAGUACCUCAAAUCCCUUAUGCAAAUUUCUUUUAAAGUGAUGUUUCAUUAAGCUUAUAAGUUCAAGCUAUUGAGUUUACAACAGAAUACCUCAAUGAAUUUUCAUUCUAUUUUAAAUGUGCAGGGGAGAACACUGUGCUAUUAUUUUUGUAGCUAGUUUCAGUGCUUAAUAGAAUUCAGGGUCUCUGGUGCUACAUGGCCACCUGGGGGCUGAAGAAUCAGUCUCCUGUGCACACUCCUUGACACAGCUUCAGCCCUUUCACAGCAUGCUUUUUGGAAAGCUCUGGUUUUGUUUCCCCACUUAGUAGUUAAUUUUCAAACAUCAUUGAUGUUAGACAUUUCAAUAUUCCUUUUCCACCGUCUCAGUCUCCAUGCACAGGAGAAAAAUGGCUUCAACUAAUCAGCAUAGGCAAUCAUGCUGGAGCAGCGUUUUGGUGGCCUUUGCUGCACUGUGCAAAAAUCUCAGGGGAUCCCAGUGGAGGGGUCUGAGUGACUGUGGUAGGAGAGAGGGCCCCACUGAUGGGUUUAGAUGAGAAUUACCAACCAGUGUGAAAGUAUACUCUAUUUCAUCCCAUCGGUGGUAGAAAGAACCAUUUAUUUUAUGUACCCCUUAAAAAAUGCCACCAAUUAAAUUCACAGCUCUUUCUCAUUAUUUAAAAUUUUAUGAUAUCCCCUUGAAAGAGCUUUUUAGAUUUAUGGAAAUAUAGAUUUUAAAAACAGAUGUCCCUUUAGGCAUACAUAAAAAAUUAAUUUGUUAAGGCAUGAAUUUAUUUAUAUUAACAAUCAGUUUUCUGAAUCACUUUUAACGUAUUCAUCAAUUUUCAUAUUGUCCCACACAGUGUCAUCUAUAUCACCCAGAGCAUGAGUAAUACAACAUUUUUAUGAGAGUACCCUACUGUUAACCUUUGCUAUUUUUCUCAAAGGCAGCUUUUUCCUAAGAUGUAUAAAAACAUGUAGCAAUUGAUAACCACAUCACAAUUUCCACCAGUAAUUACACAAUACAGCCCAUUUCAGAGAUGUUCAAAUAUGGAGGAAGAAGGUUCUUUUUAGACUUGAUAAAAUACAGUAAAUUCAAUAUAUUUAACAUCUCACAUGACUAUAUUGACCUGUUUAUUAUCAACCUUUCCUGGAUACUCAUUAUAAUUGGAGUUUAUAUAGUCCAUUUUGUAUGAGAAUAUAAAAAUAUUUCUCAAAUAUUAAUAGUAUAUACCAUAAUUAUUAAUUAUAAUUGUUAAUCAUAAUUAUAAACUCAAAUUAUAAUUGUACAUAGUGCAUAUUCCAUAAAUCAGUGUAUAUUUAAAACCUAUAAGCAAUAUGUCACUCUCAGAUGUUUGACAGAUUAAAAAUUUCAUUGUUUAUCUGCCAAGAGCCAGAAUGAAUAUCGCAAAUCAAGAGAAGUUAUGUAUAAUUUGUGAAUUAAUUUUAUGUGUCUAAUAUUGGCAUCUGAUUUGUCAUGAGUAAAUCAGAAAAAAAUCUAAAUUGAAUACAUUUAAAAACUAUAACAUGAGAAAAAAGUUCAGUUUUUCUAAAAACUAAUAAAAAAGCAGAGGACAAUGUUUUAUAGAAAAAGGAAGAAAAUUUGAGAAUUCCUAGGUAUAUCCAAAAAAAACUGUUUAUAGACAUGAAAGUAAGAGUUCAGAUUAAUAUGAGGCCAGAGUUUAAAGAGAUUUUUGAAUGAGAUAAGAAUGCAAGGUAAACUUAAAAUAUCAACACUCAGGUCUAUUAUAGAUUCAAUUAAGAAAAAGCCUCAUAAUAUUGAGUCAGGGAUAUAAAGCACAAAAUUAAGAAUAUCUAAAAUAUACAGAGUUCCUGUUGUGACUCAGAGGGUUAAGAAACCAACAAAGCCUCCAUGAGGAUGUAGGUUCAAUCCCUGGCCUCACUCAGUGGGUUAAGUAUCCGGCAUUGCUGCCAGCUGCAGUCUAGGUUGCAGAUGUGGCUAGGAUCUGGCAUUGCUGUAGCUGUGGCAUAGGCCAGCAGUUGCAGCUCCCAUUUGACCCCUAGUCUGGAAACUUCCAUAUGCCACAGGAGUG
RNAcentral lists this long non-coding RNA (4985 nucleotides) under Sus scrofa (pig). RNAcentral describes it as "lncRNA (ENSSSCG00000059005.1)". Lineage: Eukaryota; Metazoa; Chordata; Mammalia; Artiodactyla; Suidae. The record is from RNAcentral.